Molecule: long non-coding RNA, 902 nt
Organism: Haliotis rubra (blacklip abalone)
Lineage: Eukaryota; Metazoa; Mollusca; Gastropoda; Lepetellida; Haliotidae
Exons: 3
Source: RefSeq, a predicted model, not a curated record
AAUGGGGUCUAUAUAUGGUCUAUAUAUAUGCAUGCAUUGAUUUUAGUCAGUCCUCACAUAUUCACUAUUGCUUUUGCAUUUUGUAAUAUGUCUAGGAACAAGUUGAAACCAGUGUUAAAGUACAAGAGUUUUACAGAAGUAAAUCAGCUAAGUGCAAACGAACUUAAGGCCUUGUGUGUAAGACAUCGCAUCUCGAACACCUUGCCAAGGACAGCCCGUGUCAUUUUCUUGUGUCACCUUUUAGGUCUUAGUACCAUUGGAUGUGCUUCACCUGACUGUGGAUUUUUGACCAUAGGAGAAGAGCGACUUACUGCAGAGCAGAUCUUGACACUUCGGAAGCUUUCUCCAUUGAACCUUCUCCGUCUCAAGUCGUGGUCUCGUGACAUUUCUUCACUCCCUGACAUUGACGAGAAUGUUGUGAAUAAAAACCUCCUUGGAUGUAACAUUUUAGAUAAGAGUCAACUCAAGACAUACAAACUUUCUCGUGCAUAUCAGUUGAAGGACAACAUUCAUUCAGUGCUUGUGACACAACAUCCGGAAUAUUCUGAAUGUUAUUGCUCCCAGGCUAGGUGCAUUCCCUCGCAGAGCACACAGGCAGACGAUGUUAAAGUGCUUCACCUGGUGCUCGACACAGUCACUGGUGACCCCUGUUCUGCAUAUUGUACUUGUACUGUUGGAUUCACCCAGGCUUGUGGCCACAUCGGAGCUGUGCUGUGACUCUUGGCUAAGUGGCAGGCGCAUGGAGUCCUGACGGCCCCUGGUGAAGCUGCCUGUACAGACAGGCUCUGUCCAUGGAUUGACCCGAUACGCCACUGGAACAGUGAAACCCAAGCGGUUCCAGGACAUAGGUAACAAUGAUCUGUGCAACAAGAGGAGGAGAACUGCCUAUGAUUAUGGGUCCA